Long non-coding RNA from Oxyura jamaicensis (ruddy duck), 649 nucleotides. RefSeq lists it as uncharacterized. The transcript has 3 exons. The record is from RefSeq and is a predicted model, not a curated record. Lineage: Eukaryota; Metazoa; Chordata; Aves; Anseriformes; Anatidae.
UCUCCAUUUGUUCCUCUAGUGCUGGCUCACUCAGCUGGGUGUUGGCAGGCCCAGGGUGGUCAUCUUGUGGGGAGGGAAUGUGAUUCAAAGGCAGUGGCUGGGGUCAUGGUCUAAGAGUCUUCUGUCACUGUCUUCCUCCCCAAGUUAUAUUUGCUUAAUGAUUUUAAGAAUACACUCCAAUAGGGGAUGUUAUUUUACAACAAGAUACAUAUAGUCUUGAUCUGGAAGUAUGUAGUACUGAACUAGUACUAGAGCAUGACGUUUUGCUGAAGGAACUUUCUUAUGAGGAGAGGCACCCCCUCUGUUGGUGAGGUAGGAGCUUUGGAAGAAGCUAGGUGGCUUUCUACCUAGGAUGGUCAGAGCGGCCUGUGUUGUUGUGCUGGGAUGUCUGUCUCUUGUGGGUCCCUGCAGUGCGAUCCCAAAGCACUAGGCAUGGGUACAGGAAUAGGUUGGCUUGCUGAAGGAUGACUGAAGUGGUCUGCUGAAACCCACUGACUAGAUUGGGCUGGACUAUGAAGAUAUUUUUGCCACGUGGGAAGCAGGGAACUGGAGGAAAGGAAAAGAGUUUGCAAGGCUCUUGUGAAACCAUGUAGAAUCCAAACUGAUGGUAUGUCAUUCCACAAAGCACAGCAUGGGAUCUUCUAAGGAG